UACGUAGGGUGCAAGCGUUACUCGGAAUUACUGGGCGUAAAGCGUGCGCAGGCGGUCUUGCAAGACAGAUGUGAAAUCCCCGGGCUUAACCUGGGAACUGCAUUUGUGACUGCAAGGCUGGAGUGCGGCAGAGGGGGAUGGAAUUCCGCGUGUAGCAGUGAAAUGCGUAGAUAUGCGGAGGAACACCGAUGGCGAAGGCAAUCCCCUGGGCCUGCACUGACGCUCAUGCACGAAAGCGUGGGGAGCAAACAGG
RNAcentral lists this ribosomal RNA (253 nucleotides) under uncultured bacterium. RNAcentral describes it as "partial 16S ribosomal RNA". It matches the Rfam family "Bacterial small subunit ribosomal RNA", at positions 524 to 776 of the family's 1533-position model. The record is from RNAcentral.